UUGCGAUAACGAACGAGACUCUGUCCUGCUAAAUAGUCCCGUCGUCUCCUUUGCGACGGGAAUUCUUCUUAGAGGGACUGGCGGCAUCUAGUCGCACGAGAUUGAGCAAU
Molecule: ribosomal RNA, 110 nt
Filed under: Codium fragile
Lineage: Eukaryota; Viridiplantae; Chlorophyta; Ulvophyceae; Bryopsidales; Codiaceae
Description: partial small subunit ribosomal RNA
Source: RNAcentral